Long non-coding RNA from Puntigrus tetrazona (Sumatra barb), 254 nucleotides. RefSeq lists it as uncharacterized. The transcript is spliced from 2 exons. Lineage: Eukaryota; Metazoa; Chordata; Actinopteri; Cypriniformes; Cyprinidae. The record is from RefSeq and is a predicted model, not a curated record.
AGAGAAUAAAAAGCGGAGAGUUCUGAAUGUUUUACUCUAAACUCAAACUGAAAACAGAUCAAGGUGCUGGAUCAAAUGAUGUGACGUAUGCUCAGGUUAAAUAGAAAUGACAAGAAUCCCGGGAUACUGAUUUCUGUUGAGAAGAGCUGACCAGGAUCUUCAAUGCUGUGUAAUAACCUUUAUUGAGCACCUGAUGUCAGUAGAUUUAUCAGAACUUAAUAUUAGAGAUUCAAACCCUCGUGUGAGUCAAAAAG